AAAAAAAAAAAAAAACAGGCUGUUAGAGAGAGGGAGAGAGACCAUAAGACGGGGUGCAAAGGAAAAAUAUGAAGCAUGAAGCACAUACUGAACAAAAACAAUCUCCCAUUGGACAUAAAAUCAAGCAUGCAGCGCAUAUUGAGUUUGUUAUUCUCCAACAGUAAAAAAAAAAUCCAAUAGAUAAAGCACCGCGGAUAAUGAAAUUCAAUAGGGGUCAUUGAAUGGCUGGUGAGAUUUGAUGGGAGGGAAGACUUAGAGAAGAGAAACUAGUAGGGAUGGGCGAUGGGGUACCUACUAGGUAGUGGUGGUGGUGGUUGGUACCCAUUGCCCAUCCCUAGAAAUCGGAGGUGUUGGCAGCUGGGGAUGGGAAAUAUGGAUUAGGGUCAAGAAUAAGAGCAUGUAUUGGGUGUUAGAUGUGCUGGCUGGGUCGGUUUAAAACACUUGUGACCGGGCCACUACACCAAAGUAAUCUGGGGAGGUUGAAAAUAUUUUAAACAUUUAAGAGCGGGACAAGGACCAACCUGCAUCUCCCUGCUUCGGUUGGACAGGUGUGUCUGGUUCAUUAGAAAUUCACCUGCCUCAACACAAAUUGAUAAGAUGAGCUUACGUAUUGCACUAGUCAAAACCUUAGUUGGCACAUUUGCAUCUUGCAUCUAAUAAUGUAAAUUGUUACUUUUGUCACUUUAUUAGCCUUGAGGGAGCCCCCUUUUAAAAUCCUUUGGUGUGUUUAUAGUACUUUCUAAGCAUAAACUGUAGAGGGAAAGGAGGAUUGGAUAGCUACUCAAAACCCUUAUGUCAUAGAGAACUCGAACAUAAGUUUAGUUACGUUGAGUAAUGAAAUAUUUUAAUAUUUUCCUGGUUAAGAAACAAAGGUUUUGUUAGAAUGCUCUCCAUUUUCCGAUAUUAUUUCAGUUUGAUGAAGCGGACAACUGCUUAGAGUACACAGGCUAUUCUUGCAAGCAUGUGUCUGCAUACAUGUUUGAUAUGGGAGAGGAAGAUGUGGAUUUCAAAAUUUGAGAAGUUCUUUUCCAUCCUCUGUUUUGUUUAAAUGCAGAAACACUGCUGGUUUUGUGUAUUUGCGGUUUGAAACUGUGGAAGCAGCAGCUGCAGCUCAACAAUCUAUGCAUUUGAGAUGGUUUGCAGGCAGGCAGAUUUCAGCCCUGUUCAUGCAACCGCAAGUGUACGAGGCCAGGUUUGGAGUUUAGAAUGGAGUUGAAGUGUCUUCGUGGUGGUGUUUUUAGUUUACAGCUAGUCAUUUCUUUGCCCUUUUAGGAUACAAAAUUUCCUAGUUUUCCGAUCCUUACACAUGUAUGAUUACAUCGAAUGCAUGACACUCACUUGGUUGAAGAAAGUGUGUAAUUUUGUACUCCAACCGUCUGUUUUAUAUCAUUAACUAAUAUUAAGAGUUCAAUUUA
Non-coding RNA from Prunus avium (sweet cherry), 1415 nucleotides. The record is from RefSeq and is a predicted model, not a curated record. NCBI's taxonomy places the organism in Eukaryota, Viridiplantae, Streptophyta, Magnoliopsida, Rosales, Rosaceae.